UGCCACUGAAGUGUUUUGAGGCAAUUUCUUCAUACCCUUUGAUUCUCUGAUUAAAGAAGAACAAGGAGGAGAAAAAUGGCAUGUGUAUCCCAGGCAAUGAUAUCAGCAAACACAUGCACAUUCACUUCCCCACGGCUCUUCAAGAAAUGCCUAUCCUUAAAUAGGCAAAAUUUUAAGAUUUUCACCAUUAGAGCUUCCUCUGAUGACCCUG
Molecule: unclassified non-coding RNA, 211 nt
Filed under: Hevea brasiliensis (rubber tree)
Lineage: Eukaryota; Viridiplantae; Streptophyta; Magnoliopsida; Malpighiales; Euphorbiaceae
Source: RNAcentral